RNAcentral lists this transfer RNA (92 nucleotides) under Paraburkholderia largidicola. RNAcentral's name for it is "tRNA-Ala". Lineage: Bacteria; Pseudomonadati; Pseudomonadota; Betaproteobacteria; Burkholderiales; Burkholderiaceae. The record is from RNAcentral.
UGGCUGAUCAGCUGGUCGGGCAGUGGCUGGAUUGCACGCAGCGGACGCGGCGUGAGGUCGCGUUCGGCUGCGUUCUCGUCGCGGUCGGACAU